Canis lupus familiaris (dog) is the source of this 362-nucleotide long non-coding RNA. RefSeq lists it as uncharacterized. NCBI's taxonomy places the organism in Eukaryota, Metazoa, Chordata, Mammalia, Carnivora, Canidae. The record is from RefSeq and is a predicted model, not a curated record. The transcript is spliced from 3 exons.
CGCUUGACUGCUGGGCCACCCAGGCGUCCCAUCAAAUAAUGGGGUUUAAUCAUGAAAACUUCUAGGGUGCUUGCUUGUUUCUCUGAUAUUCUAAUCCGGAUCACAGAAUGGCUAAGGCAGCUUUAAGUGGAGGGCGGAGUUUGUUUUCUUUUUUCCUUUCUCUGUUUGCCUUGUAUUUUCCACUCUGAAAGAACAUUAUGGCCUCAUUUCCUGGUGACUACGAUUCAAGUUGAACUCUGUGGAACAGGUUCUUCUCUCAUGGAGGAAAAUAAACAGGAAUGGUGAUCUUAUCAACCAUGGUUUCAUCACACAGAGAGAGACAGAGAGAGGCAGAGACACAGGCAGAGGGAGAAGCAGGCUCC